Molecule: regulatory RNA element, 321 nt
Organism: Neotoma lepida (desert woodrat)
Lineage: Eukaryota; Metazoa; Chordata; Mammalia; Rodentia; Cricetidae
Rfam family: Mason-Pfizer monkey virus packaging signal
About the family: The packaging signal is located in the 5' UTR and is required for specific RNA encapsidation.
Source: Rfam
UGGCACCCAACGUUGAGGCUUGAGAACGUGGAGGAUUGGAGAACGACAUACACCAAAGCAGGCCUGAAUAUCAGUUUGACCACUGUGGAGAACGCUCCACGAACGAAGGUCCGUCAAAUGAUGGCCAUGGGGACACCCAACCAUGAGACAGAUCAGGGGAGUUGAUUUGUGCUGAUGCAAGGUAAGUUUACCAUGGGACAAGCAUUUAGUAAACAAGAUUUACUUAUUUCAGGACUUACACAGUCUCUCAAGACAUGAGAACAAGGGUAAAAAAGAAAGAUUUAAAAAAGUUUCUUGAUUAUAUUGGGGACCUUUGUCCCU